Molecule: long non-coding RNA, 254 nt
Organism: Paramisgurnus dabryanus
Lineage: Eukaryota; Metazoa; Chordata; Actinopteri; Cypriniformes; Cobitidae
Source: RefSeq, a predicted model, not a curated record
AAAGGACGAGGCUGAAGGUUAAGAUGGAACAAAUCGACCGUAAUUAACAGACUCACGGAGAUCCUUGAAUCCGUAGCAUUCGCCGAUAGAUUCACUGAAGCGUAACCACACAGGAUCCAGAGCGGAAGCAAGGUGAAAAAGCCAUCCAAGGGCAGAGAGAGUAUCUGCUGUGUCACAGACUUGGAAACGUGGCAGAAAGCUUUCAAGGUGUCAGGACCUGCAGACAUCUGACGUUCAUUUCACGACUAUAAGUG